MicroRNA precursor from Cricetulus griseus (Chinese hamster), 72 nucleotides. NCBI's taxonomy places the organism in Eukaryota, Metazoa, Chordata, Mammalia, Rodentia, Cricetidae. The record is from Ensembl.
UGUGGGUACAUGUACCCUAUGUGGGUACAUGCAUAUGUGUGUGUAUACACAAACACAUACACACUUAAAGUA